GACGAACGCUGGCGGCGUGGAUUAGGCAUGCAAGUCGAACGGUAUCAUCCUUUCGGGGGUGAGAGAGUGGCGAACUGGUGAGUAACACGUAGGUUAUCUACCCUCAAGACGGGGACAACCCAGGGAAACUUGGGCUAAUACCGGAUGUGAGCAACUUUUAGUUGUUUGAAAGGUGGCGUAAGCUGUCGCUUGGGGAUGAGCCCUGCGUCCUAUUAGUUAGUUGGUGAGGUAACGGCUCACCUAGGCAAUGAUAGGUAGGCGGCCUUAACGGGUGGUCGCCCACACUGGGAUUGAGAUACGGCCCAGACUCCUACGGGAGGCAGCAGUCGAGAAUAGUCUACAAUGGUCGGAAGACUGAUAGUGCGACGCCGCGUGAACGAUGAAUCCCUUCGGGGUGUAAAGUUCUUUUAUAUGUGAGCAGUGCUUCUUAUAUUAACAGUAUGGGGAGAGAGAUAUUAGCAUAUGAAUAAGCAACGGCUAACUCCGUGCCAGCAGCCGCGGU
Molecule: ribosomal RNA, 502 nt
Filed under: uncultured bacterium
Lineage: Bacteria
Description: bacterial SSU rRNA
Rfam family: Bacterial small subunit ribosomal RNA
Source: RNAcentral